Molecule: ribosomal RNA, 1050 nt
Filed under: Acinetobacter baumannii
Lineage: Bacteria; Pseudomonadati; Pseudomonadota; Gammaproteobacteria; Moraxellales; Moraxellaceae
Description: partial 23S ribosomal RNA
Rfam family: Bacterial large subunit ribosomal RNA
Source: RNAcentral
GUUGUAUAGUCAAGUAAUUAAGUGCAUGUGGUGGAUGCCUUGGCAGUCAGAGGCGAUGAAAGACGUGAUAGCCUGCGAAAAGCUCCGGGGAGGCGGCAAAUAUCCUUUGAUCCGGAGAUGUCUGAAUGGGGGAACCCACCUACUUUAAGGUAGGUAUUGCAACAUGAAUACAUAGUGUUGCAAGGCGAACGAGGGGAAGUGAAACAUCUCAGUACCCUUAGGAAAAGAAAUCAAUUGAGAUUCCCUCAGUAGCGGCGAGCGAACGGGGAUCAGCCCAUUAAGUUAUGUGUGUUUUAGUGGAACGCUCUGGGAAGUGCGAACGUAGAGGGUGAUAUUCCCGUACACGAAAGGGCACACAUAAUGAUGACGAGUAGGGCGAGGCACGUGAAACCUUGUCUGAAUAUGGGGGGACCAUCCUCCAAGGCUAAAUACUCCUGACUGACCGAUAGUGAACCAGUACCGUGAGGGAAAGGCGAAAAGAACCCCUGUGAGGGGAGUGAAAUAGAUCCUGAAACCGCAUGCAUACAAGCAGUGGGAGCACCUUCGUGGUGUGACUGCGUACCUUUUGUAUAAUGGGUCAGCGACUUAUAUUCAGUAGCGAGGUUAACCGUAUAGGGGAGCCGUAGAGAAAUCGAGUCUUAAUAGGGCGUUUAGUUGCUGGGUAUAGACCCGAAACCAGGCGAUCUAUCCAUGAGCAGGUUGAAGGUUGGGUAACACUAACUGGAGGACCGAACCCACUGUCGUUGAAAAGCCAGGGGAUGACUUGUGGAUAGGGGUGAAAGGCUAAUCAAGCCUGGUGAUAGCUGGUUCUCCCCGAAAGCUAUUUAGGUAGCGCCUCGGACGAAUACCAUAGGGGGUAGAGCACUGUUUCGGCUAGGGGGUCAUCCCGACUUACCAAACCGAUGCAAACUCCGAAUACCUAUGAGUACUAUCCGGGAGACAGACUGCGGGUGCUAACGUCCGUAGUCAAGAGGAAAACAAUCCAGACCGCCAGCUAAGGCCCCAAAAUCAUAGUUAAGUGGGAAACGAUGUGGGAAGGCAUAGACAGCU